AUGCUGAGGACUCUGGAGAGACUGCCGUCGUAAGAUGUGAGGAAGGUGGGGAUGACGUCAAAUCAGCACGGCCCUUACGUCCGGGGCUACACACGUGUUACAAUGGGGGGUACAGAAGGCAGCUAGCGGGUGACCGUAUGCUAAUCCCAAAAGCCUCUCUCAGUUCGGAUCGAAGUCUGCAACCCGACUUCGUGAAGCUGGAUUCGCUAGUAAUCGCGCAUCAGCCACGGCGCGGUGAAUACGUUCCCGGGCCUUGUACACACCGCCCGUCAAGCCAUGGGAGCCGGGGGUACCUGAAGUACGUAACCGCAAGGAUCGUCCUAGGGUAAAACUGGUGACUGGGGCUAAGUCGUAACAAGGUAGCCGUACCGGAAGGUGCGGCUGGAACACCUCCUUUCUGGAGC
Molecule: ribosomal RNA, 404 nt
Filed under: Bacteroides fragilis
Lineage: Bacteria; Pseudomonadati; Bacteroidota; Bacteroidia; Bacteroidales; Bacteroidaceae
Description: bacterial SSU rRNA
Rfam family: Bacterial small subunit ribosomal RNA
Source: RNAcentral